This 506-nucleotide long non-coding RNA is filed under the name Homo sapiens (human). Its description in RNAcentral is "uncharacterized LOC105369165, transcript variant 1 (LOC105369165)". Lineage: Eukaryota; Metazoa; Chordata; Mammalia; Primates; Hominidae. The record is from RNAcentral.
AGCACUGGGACUAUCUGAAGUCUCUGGAAGAAGCUGCAGGAAAUCCAGUUCUAUCAGAUUUCGCUUCAAAAAUUUUGGACCUUUGUUACUAGGUACAUAAACAUCUGAGGUGUUUAUUGGAGCUCUUUGCCUAGAACUGAUAAUUGGAUUCAUGGUAUUCUGGAGAACAAGGAAGAAAACUGAAGCCCAGAAAGCUUAAUAUAUUACCCAAAGAGUUAGUCCACAUUGAACUGGGAGUUAAUCCUUGUCUGUCUGGCUGGAAAGCUUUUGCUCUGUAUCUUGGAUGAAUAAACUAAACCUUAGGGAAUCUUCCUAGAAGAAACCAUAUAACGCCUCCUGUACGAGAAGUUAAAUUACAACACAAAGAUUGCUUGGUGAGCAUGUGAUCAAAACAGGGCAAGAUGAAGACCUUUAGAGGCCACAAGCAUUUUAGUGUGCCUCCCAACUUCCCUUAUAUUAUUCAAAAUAUAAACAAUAAAAUCUACAAAGAUGUGAAAGAAGUCCAA